Molecule: ribosomal RNA, 549 nt
Filed under: uncultured bacterium
Lineage: Bacteria
Description: bacterial SSU rRNA
Rfam family: Bacterial small subunit ribosomal RNA
Source: RNAcentral
AGGGAAUCUUCGGCAAUGGGGGCAACCCUGACCGAGCAACGCCGCGUGAGUGAAGAAGGUUUUCGGAUCGUAAAGCUCUGUUGUAAGAGAAGAACGAGUGUGAGAGUGGAAAGUUCACACUGUGACGGUAACUUACCAGAAAGGGACGGCUAACUACGUGCCAGCAGCCGCGGUAAUACGUAGGUCCCGAGCGUUAUCCGGAUUUAUUGGGCGUAAAGCGAGCGCAGGCGGUUAGAUAAGUCUGAAGUUAAAGGCUGUGGCUUAACCAUAGUACGCUUUGGAAACUGUUUAACUUGAGUGCAGAAGGGGAGAGUGGAAUUCCAUGUGUAGCGGUGAAAUGCGUAGAUAUAUGGAGGAACACCGGUGGCGAAAGCGGCUCUCUGGUCUGUAACUGACGCUGAGGCUCGAAAGCGUGGGGGGCAAACAGGAUUAGAUACCCUGGUAGUCCACGCCGUAAACGAUGAGUGCUAGGUGUUGGGUCCUUUCCGGGACUCAGUGCCGCAGCUAACGCAUUAAGCACUCCGCCUGGGGAGUACGACCGCAAGGUUG